Octopus sinensis (East Asian common octopus) is the source of this 187-nucleotide long non-coding RNA. RefSeq lists it as uncharacterized. NCBI's taxonomy places the organism in Eukaryota, Metazoa, Mollusca, Cephalopoda, Octopoda, Octopodidae. The record is from RefSeq and is a predicted model, not a curated record. The transcript is spliced from 3 exons.
UCCGCUACCUAGGAGACCAAGUCAGUAGCGGGGGUGGAUACUCUGAGAGCAUAGAUGUCAGAAUAAGAUUAGGCAGGGCAAAGUUUAGAGAGCUCCUGCCUCUACUGGCAACAAAGGGCCUCUCUCUCAGAGUGAAGGUAGAUUGUAUGAUGCCUAUGUGCAAACAGCUAUGCUACAUGGCAGUGAA